RNAcentral lists this ribosomal RNA (253 nucleotides) under uncultured bacterium. RNAcentral describes it as "partial 16S ribosomal RNA". It matches the Rfam family "Bacterial small subunit ribosomal RNA", at positions 524 to 776 of the family's 1533-position model. The record is from RNAcentral.
UACGUAGGUGGCAAGCGUUGUCCGGAUUUAUUGGGUUUAAAGGGUGCGUAGGCGGCUUUGUAAGUCAGUGGUGAAAUACUCUAGCUUAACUAGAGGGGUGCCAUUGAUACUGCAGAGCUUGAGUACAGAUGAGGUAGGCGGAAUUGACGGUGUAGCGGUGAAAUGCAUAGAUAUCGUCAAGAACACCAGUGGCGAAGGCGACACACUGGCCCAUUACUGACGCUGAGGCUCGAAAGCGUGGGGAGCAAACAGG